CCCCCUCCUUCUGAAGCAAUAGGCAUUCACUUGUGGCACAAUGCCAUUUGGGGCAGAUUUUUGAGUCUGAACUGGCGUAAACACUUUAGAUGGAUGUGUAAAUCCAGGGCUCUUCAGGACAAGAUACAAGGAGAGAUCGUCUAAGGCAGCUGGAUGUGUACGGACGGUCAGAAUGGCUAGAAGAACAGACCUCCUCAUCCACGUCCGCUUGGUUACAGAUUCAUAACCAGAGAAGAAUAACAAAGAAACAAAUAAGCAGUUGUGACCAAAAUAAAAAAGUGAAAAGAUACUGCCUUUUUCCAACUAAUGCCAGCUGUAGUCUGUUCUGGAAGGUAGAUAUUAAAGCUAUGCUUCAGGCAAAUUCCAGGCCUAUCCAGUGCAAUUUAUUCCGUUUCAUCUUUCUACUUAUAAAUUCACUUUUGGACUUCCCUGGUGGUGCGGUGGUUGAGAAUCCGCCUGCCAAUGCAGGGAACAGGCGUUCCAGCCCUGGUCCGGGAAGAUUCCACACGCCGCGGAGCAACUAAGUCCGUGCGCCACAACUACUGAGCCCACGUGCCACAGCUACUGAAGCCCACGUGCCUAGAGCCCGUGCUCCGCAACAAGAGACGCCACCGCAAUGAGAAGAAGCCUGGACACCGCAACGAAGAGUAGCCCCAGCUCGUCGCAACUAGAGAAAGCCCGCGUGCAGCAACGAAGACCCAACACAG
Long non-coding RNA from Balaenoptera acutorostrata (minke whale), 707 nucleotides. RefSeq lists it as uncharacterized. Lineage: Eukaryota; Metazoa; Chordata; Mammalia; Artiodactyla; Balaenopteridae. The transcript has 3 exons. The record is from RefSeq and is a predicted model, not a curated record.